CCUACGGGAGACAGCAGUAGGGAAUCUUCCACAAUGGGCGAAAGCCUGAUGGAGCAACGCCGCGUGGGUGAAGAAGGUCUUCGGAUCGUAAAACCCUGUUGUUAGAGAAGAAAGUGCGUGAGAGUAACUGUUCACGUUUCGACGGUAUCUAACCAGAAAGCCACGGCUAACUACGUGCCAGCAGCCGCGGUAAUACGUAGGUGGCAAGCGUUAUCCGGAUUUAUUGGGCGUAAAGGGAACGCAGGCGGUCUGUUAAGUCUGAUGUGAAAGCCUUCGGCUGAACCGGGGUAGUGCAUUGGAUACUGGGAUGCUUGAGUGCAGUAGAGGAGAGUGGAACUCCAGGUGUAGCGGUGAAAUGCGUAGAUAUAUGGAAGAACACCAGUGGCGAAGGCGGCUCCCUGGACUGUAACUGACGCUGAGGUGCGAAAGCGUGGGUAGCAAACAGGAUUAGAUACCCGGGUAGUC
This 465-nucleotide ribosomal RNA is filed under the name uncultured bacterium. RNAcentral describes it as "partial 16S ribosomal RNA". It matches the Rfam family "Bacterial small subunit ribosomal RNA", at positions 338 to 795 of the family's 1533-position model. The record is from RNAcentral.